This 406-nucleotide ribosomal RNA is filed under the name uncultured bacterium. Its description in RNAcentral is "partial 16S ribosomal RNA". It matches the Rfam family "Bacterial small subunit ribosomal RNA", at positions 30 to 526 of the family's 1533-position model. The record is from RNAcentral.
AUUGAACGCUGGCGGCAGGCCUAACACAUGCAAGUCGAACGAGUGGCGGACGGGUGAGUAAUGUCUGGGAAACUGCCUGAUGGAGGGGGAUAACUACUGGAAACGGUGUCUAAUACCGCCUACCCCCGGCUGUGCCCAGAUGGGAUUAGCUAGUAGGUGGGGUAAAGGCUCACCUAGGCGACGAUCCCUAGCUGGUCUGAAAGGAGGACCGGCCACACUGGAACUGAGACACGGUCCAGACUCCUACAGGAGGCAGCAGUGGGGAAUAUUGCACAAAGGGCGCAAGCCUGAUGCAGCCAUGCCGCGUGUAUGAAGAAGGACUUCGAGUUAGAAGGUACUUUCAGCGGGGAGGCGUUACCCACAGAAGAAACACCGGCUAACUCCGUGCCAGCAGCCGCGGUAAUAC